CAUGUGUGACGCUAGUCACUAAAGGCUCGUACGUCAGAUGACCCGUGCAUAGCCAUGUGUAGUACGCUACAACGCACGAUCGUAGCGACUGGAGGGUAUCCGCACCUGACUUAGAACGGCCAGACUCUACCGGAGGCAGCAGUAGGAUCUCCGCAAAUGACGAAAGUCUCGACGGAGGAAACGCCGCGUGAGUGAAUGAAAGUUUCCGAACCGGUAAGCUCUGUGGGUAAGGGAGAGACACAGUACCGUUCGAAAUAGGGCCGUACCUUACGCGUACCUAACCCCAAAAAGCACCGCGCUAAUACGUGCCAGAGGGCGCGGGUAUAUCGUAAGGUGGCCAAACGUGUCUCGGAGAUAUUUGGGCGUAAAGGGCUCGCAGGGGGGUUUCUCAAAUCUGAUGUGUAAAGCCCCCGGGUCAACCCGGGAGGGGCAUUGGAAACCGGGGGACCCUAGUGCAGAAGAAGAAAAGUGGAAAUUCCCGUGUAGCGGUGAAAAGCGCAGAGGAUGUGGGGGGAACACCAGUGGGGAAAGGGGACUCUCUGGGCUGUAACUGACGCUGAGGGGGCGAAAACGUGGGGAGCGCAAAACGGUUAAGAUACCCUGGUUGUCCCGCCCUAAACGAUGAGUGCUAAGUGUUUGGGGGGUUUCCCCCCCUAGUGCCGGCACUAACGCAUUAAGCACUCCCCCCGGGGAGUACGGUCGCAAGACUGAAAAUCAAAAGAAUUGACGGGGGGCCGCACAAGCGGUGGAGCAUGUGGUUUAAUUCGAAGCAACGCGAAGAACCUUACCAGGUCUUGACCUCCUCUGGCAAUCCUAGAGAUAGGGCGUUCCUUCGGGGGCAGAGUGACAGGUGGUGCAUGGUUGUCGUCAGCUCGUGUCGUGAGAUGUUGGGUUAAGUCCCGCAACGAGCGCAACCCUUGAUCUUAGUUGCCAGCAUUCAGUUGGGCACUCUAAGGUGACUGCCGGUGACAAACCGGAGGAAGGUGGGGAUGACGUCAAAUCAUCAUGCCCCUUAUGACCUGGGCUACACACGUGCUACAAUGGACAGAACAAAGGGCAGCGAAACCGCGAGGUUAAGCCAAUCCCACAAAUCUGUUCUCAGUUCGGAUCGCAGUCUGCAACUCGAAUGCGUGAAGCUGGAAUCGCUAGUAAUCCGGAUCACAUGCCGCCGAGCUCCC
Molecule: ribosomal RNA, 1178 nt
Filed under: Bacillus pumilus
Lineage: Bacteria; Bacillati; Bacillota; Bacilli; Caryophanales; Bacillaceae
Description: bacterial SSU rRNA
Rfam family: Bacterial small subunit ribosomal RNA
Source: RNAcentral